This 515-nucleotide ribosomal RNA is filed under the name bacterium symbiont of Megymenum gracilicorne. RNAcentral describes it as "partial 16S ribosomal RNA". It matches the Rfam family "Bacterial small subunit ribosomal RNA", at positions 527 to 1041 of the family's 1533-position model. The record is from RNAcentral.
GUAGGGUGCAAGCGUUAAUCGGAAUUACUGGGCGUAAAGCGCACGCAGGCGGUNNNNNNAGUCNGAUGUGAAAUCCCCGGGCUUAACCUGGGAACUGCAUUCGAAACUGGCAGGCUAGAGUCUUGUAGAGGGGGGUAGAAUUCCAGGUGUAGCGGUGAAAUGCGUAGAGAUCUGGAGGAAUACCGGUGGCGAAGGCGGCCCCCUGGACAAAGACUGACGCUCAUGUGCGAAAGCGUGGGGAGCAAACAGGAUUAGAUACCCUGGUAGUCCACGCCCUAAACGAUGUCGACUNGGAGGUGGUUCCCUUGNNNAGUGGCUUCCGGAGCUAACGCGUUAAUUCAACCGCCGGGGGAGUACGGCCGCAAGGUUAAAACUCAAAUGAAUUGACGGGGGCCCGCACAAGCGGGGGAGAAUGUGGUUUAAUUCGAUGCACCGCGAAAAACCUUACCUACUCUUGACAUCCAGAGAACUUAGCAAAGAUGCUUUGGUGCCUUCGGNAACUCUGAGACAGGUGC